CAGGGAGAGAAGAAACACCAGGUCGAAUAGAGAGAGGAGAAGCACGUGGAGGACAAGGAGGCCCUCUGGGAACUACUAUGAAAAGGAGACUCGCACUGGAAGCAUGGGAGCGAACCCCACAUAUGUAGAUAGGGACGGCUAUUUCUAAGGUGGAGUCGGGCACGUGCAGCUGGGAGAGUUUGUCCUGCAGCAGAGACGGGAUGAUGGUGUUGAAGGCAGAGCUGAAGUCCACAAACAGGAUCCUGGCGUAGGUUCCUGGGGAGUCCAGAUGCUGAGGAUGUAGUGGAGGGCCAUGUUGACAGCAUCGUCCACAGACCUGUUGGCUCUGUAGGCGAACUGCAGGGGGUCCAGGAGGGGGUCGGUGAGGGACUUCAGGUGGGUCAGGACUAGCCGUUCAAAAGACUUCAUGACUACAGAGAUCAGGGCGACAGGCCUGUAGUCAUUGAGUCCUGUGAUCCUGGGCUUCUUGGGGACAGGGAUGAUGGUGGAUGCCUUGAAGCAGGCUGGUACGUGGCAUGUCUCCAGGGAGGUGUUGAAGAUGUCAGUGAACACCGGAGACAGCUGGUCAGCACAAUGCUUCAGGGAGUGAGGGGAGACGGAG
Gasterosteus aculeatus aculeatus (three-spined stickleback) is the source of this 601-nucleotide long non-coding RNA. The record is from Ensembl. Lineage: Eukaryota; Metazoa; Chordata; Actinopteri; Perciformes; Gasterosteidae.